Microtus ochrogaster (prairie vole) is the source of this 519-nucleotide non-coding RNA. Lineage: Eukaryota; Metazoa; Chordata; Mammalia; Rodentia; Cricetidae. The record is from the annotation of a RefSeq genome assembly.
AAGAUGGACUUGAGGCUGAGCUGGAUUUUCCUUUUUGCUCUUUUCAAAGGUGUCCAAUGUGAUCCACAGCUGGUGGAGACUGGGGGAGGCUUGGUACAGCCUGGAGGGUCUCUAAAACUCUCCUGUGCAGCUUCUGGAUUCACAUUCAGUGAUUACUGGAUGGACUGGGUCCGCCAGGCACCAGGGAAGGGCCUAGAGUGGGUUGGUAGAAUUAAACAUAAACCUAAUAAUUAUGAAACAAGCUAUGUAGAGUCUGUGAAAGGCAGAUUCACCAUCUCAAGAGAUGAUUCCAAAAGCAUGCUGUACCUGCAAAUGAACAACUUAAGAGUCGAAGACACCGCCAUUUAUUACUGUGCUAGAGACACAAUGAGAAGAUUUCAGUGUGAACCCUGACACAAACCUCCCUGUAGCAAUGCCCAGAACCAGCAGGGGGCACAGAGCACACAUGAGCCAGUGCAGGAACAGGUGCAGACAGAAUUCAGUGCUCCUUUAUAUGGCCCAUCUCCUGAUUUCACGUAA